AGUGAACGCUGGCGGUAGGCCUAACACAUGCAAGUCGGACGGCAGCACAGUAAGAGCUUGCUCUUACGGGUGGCGAGUGGCGGACGGGUGAGGAAUACAUCGGAAUCUACUUUUUCGUGGGGGAUAACGUAGGGAAACUUACGCUAAUACCGCAUACGACCUACGGGUGAAAGCAGGGGAUCUUCGGAUCUUGCGCGAUUGAAUGAGCCGAUGUCGGAUUAGCUAGUUGGCGGGGUAAAGGCCCACCAAGGCGACGAUCCGUAGCUGGUCUGAGAGGAUGAUCAGCCACACCGGAACUGAGACACGGUCCAGACUCCUACGGGAGGCAGCAGUGGGGAAUAUUGGACAAUGGGCGCAAGCCUGAUCCAGCCAUACCGCGUGGGUGAAGAAGGCCUUCGGGUUGUAAAGCCCUUUUGUUGGGAAAGAAAAGCAGCAGGUUAAUACCCCGCUGUUCUGACGGUACCCAAAGAAUAAGCACCGGCUAACUUCGUG
RNAcentral lists this ribosomal RNA (492 nucleotides) under uncultured bacterium. Its description in RNAcentral is "partial 16S ribosomal RNA". It matches the Rfam family "Bacterial small subunit ribosomal RNA", at positions 29 to 507 of the family's 1533-position model. The record is from RNAcentral.